GUGCUUGCUCCAUCCAGCAGCACGUAUUUUAAAAUUGGAACGAUACAGAGAUGAGUGUGGUGCCCUGCACAAGAGUGACAUGCCGAUUUGUGAAGCAUUCCAUAUUUUU
Peromyscus maniculatus bairdii (prairie deer mouse) is the source of this 109-nucleotide small nuclear RNA. Lineage: Eukaryota; Metazoa; Chordata; Mammalia; Rodentia; Cricetidae. The record is from Ensembl.